ACAAUAUUCGGACCUUCGGUUUACCUUGCAAAAUCACUCGUGGAAGAUCUUCCCUUUGUCGU
RNAcentral lists this microRNA precursor (62 nucleotides) under Bombyx mori (domestic silkworm). RNAcentral's name for it is "mir-2774 microRNA precursor family". It matches the Rfam family "mir-2774 microRNA precursor family". The record is from Rfam by way of RNAcentral. Lineage: Eukaryota; Metazoa; Arthropoda; Insecta; Lepidoptera; Bombycidae.